GGCUGAAAUACAGGAUUUGCUAUGAUAUAUUGUCAAAGUACGGUCUCAGCAGCUCCUCUCUGACCUUUUCUGACUACCUGCUGCUGUGAAAAUUGUCACUAAUGCUGAUAUUUUAAACAAAAUAUGGUUUUACUACAGGUUUGGUGAUUGCUACUGGUUACUACACCCUGUCACUGCUUCAGUCUACAGUAAAUCUGCCUGUUUUUCUUGCAGUUCAUGGGAAGCUGGUAUGAGCUGGCCGUGAUCUCUAACUGCCCUCACUACAUGCAACACAAGAGAGAAAACCCCAUCGUUGUUUCACAAUGACAGCAACUACCUUCAGGAAUGAUUCCUGGAAGGAGACAUCCACAGUUUACAAUCUGACCGACACUCCAGGACGAUUCUUCCACCAUUUUGCAAGUCGAAUCACAGACAUAAGUCCUGCUGCACUCGAUCUUUUUCAAGCUCUGGUCAGACAACAUGGGAAGAGUAAUGAUGCUGUCAUCAGGAAUCAGUUCAAAGGUACAAACACCCACUGACUGAGGACUAUGAUACUACUAGUGUGACGACCCUUCACCUGGACACCAGGUGUGUCUGUUCCAGUCCUCACCUGAUUGAGCCACACACACGAUCACGUGGCUCAGCUGCACUUCAUCUCGCCCACUUUCAUUCAAAUGGGCUCUCUGACAGGAGCAGCUGCCGUGUGGAGCUCCAGCAGCAUGUUUCUGGGUUUUGGUUUUGGUUUUUAAUGCCCAUUUGGUUGUUUUUGCAUGGCAAUAAACCUUUUUUUAGUCACCACA
Molecule: long non-coding RNA, 779 nt
Organism: Acanthochromis polyacanthus (spiny chromis)
Lineage: Eukaryota; Metazoa; Chordata; Actinopteri; Pomacentridae
Exons: 3
Source: RefSeq, a predicted model, not a curated record